AUCGACAUCCUCAGACCCUACUUUGAUGUGGAGCCUGCUCAGGUGCGAAGCAGGCUCCUGGAGUCCAUGAUCCCUAUCAAGAUGGUCAACUUCCCCCAGAAAAUUGCAGGUGAACUCUAUGGACCUCUCAUGCUGGUCUUCACUCUGGUUGCUAUCCUACUCCAUGGGAUGAAGACGUCUGACACUAUUAUCGUAAGCAGGACAGACAACUUUGGGGGGGUGGCUGCACUAGGUUGAAAGCUGCCUGAGGUACGAUGGUGGAGUGAGACAGGAACAGCCCCUGCGGAAGGCCCUAGGUGAGGCUGAGAUCAGAGGCCUCCUAGGACUAAAUAGAGC
Molecule: small RNA, 336 nt
Filed under: Pan troglodytes (chimpanzee)
Lineage: Eukaryota; Metazoa; Chordata; Mammalia; Primates; Hominidae
Description: retained intron
Source: RNAcentral